GUCUGCGUGGAGCCGACCUUGAAAUACCACCCUUUAAUGUUUGAUGUUCUAACGUGGAUCCGUAAUCCGGGUUGCGGACAGUGUCUGGUGGGUAGUUUGACUGGGGCGGUCUCCUCCUAAAGAGUAACGGAGGAGCACGAAGGUUGGCUAAUCCUGGUCGGACAUCAGGAGGUUAGUGCAAUGGCAUAAGCCAGCUUGACUGCGAGCGUGACGGCGCGAGCAGGUGCGAAAGCAGGUCAUAGUGAUCCGGUGGUUCUGAAUGGAAGGGCCAUCGCUCAACGGAUAAAAGGUACUCCGGGGAUAACAGGCUGAUACCGCCCAAGAGUUCAUAUCGACGGCGGUGUUUGGCACCUCGAUGUCGGCUCAUCACAUCCUGGGGCUGAAGUAGGUCCCAAGGGUAUGGCUGUUCGCCAUUUAAAGUGGUACGCGAGCUGGGUUUAGAACGUCGUGAGACAGUUCGGUCCCUAUCUGCCGUGGGCGCUGGAGAACUGAGGGGGGCUGCUCCUAGUACGAGAGGACCGGAGUGGACGCAUCACUGGUGUUCGGGUUGUCAUGCCAAUGGCACUGCCCGGUAGCUAAAUGCGGAAGAGAUAAGUGCUGAAAGCAUCUAAGCACGAAACUUGCCCCGA
Molecule: ribosomal RNA, 629 nt
Filed under: Salmonella enterica subsp. enterica serovar Infantis
Lineage: Bacteria; Pseudomonadati; Pseudomonadota; Gammaproteobacteria; Enterobacterales; Enterobacteriaceae
Also listed under: 1 other name
Description: partial 23S ribosomal RNA
Rfam family: Bacterial large subunit ribosomal RNA
Source: RNAcentral